This 301-nucleotide ribosomal RNA is filed under the name uncultured bacterium. RNAcentral describes it as "partial 16S ribosomal RNA". It matches the Rfam family "Bacterial small subunit ribosomal RNA", at positions 509 to 809 of the family's 1533-position model. The record is from RNAcentral.
CAGUCGCCUCGGGAAUACGUAGGUGGCAAGCGUUGUCCGGAAUUAUUGGGCGUAAAGCGCGCGCAGGCGGAUCAGCUAGUCUGUCUUAAAAGUUCGGGGCUUAACCCCGUGAUGGGAUGGAAACUGCUGAUCUAGAGUAUCGGAGAGGAAAGUGGAAUUCCUAGUGUAGCGGUGAAAUGCGUAGAUAUUAGGAAGAACACCAGUGGCGAAGGCGACUUUCUGGACGAAAACUGACGCUGAGGCGCGAAAGCCAGGGGAGCGAACGGGAUUAGAUACCCCUGUAGUCCCUGUCUCUUAUACA